RNAcentral lists this ribosomal RNA (249 nucleotides) under uncultured Gaiellales bacterium. RNAcentral describes it as "partial 16S ribosomal RNA". It matches the Rfam family "Bacterial small subunit ribosomal RNA", at positions 355 to 597 of the family's 1533-position model. The record is from RNAcentral. Lineage: Bacteria; Bacillati; Actinomycetota; Thermoleophilia; Gaiellales.
UGGGGAAUCUUGCGCAAUGGGCGGAAGCCUGACGCAGCAACGCCGCGUGCGGGAAGAAGGCCUUAGGGUCGUAAACCGCUUUCAGGGGGGACGAAGCUUCCGGGGUUAAUAGCCUACGGGGUGACGGUACUCCCAAAAGAAGGUCCGGCUAACUACGUGCCAGCAGCCGCGGUAAUACGUAGGGACCGAGCGUUGUCCGGAAUCAUUGGGCGUAAAGAGCGGGUAGGCGGCUUGGUAGGUCUCGUGUGA